RNAcentral lists this ribosomal RNA (373 nucleotides) under uncultured Glomeromycotina. Its description in RNAcentral is "LSU rRNA". Lineage: Eukaryota; Fungi; Glomeromycota. The record is from RNAcentral.
UUGAAAGGGAAACGAUUGAAGUCAGUCGUACCUGUGGGUAAUCAGCCUUUUGGGUGUGAUUUUGUGGAGUGUGAGGAGUUAAACGCCUUCAUGCCUGCAUAUUCGUGCACUUUGGGUGUAUUUACCCGUGUGGUAAGUUAACAUCAAUUUCGGUGGUCAUAAAAUGGCUGGAGGAAUGUAGCUUCGAUCUUGUAUUGAGGUGUUAUAGCCUUCGGUAGAUGUGAUGAUCGGGAUUGAGGAUUGCAACGGAUCCCCUUCGGGGCUACCUGUCUGAUCUCUGAUCGUUGCUCUGGUGCCGAAAGCUUGCUUACGGUUAUCAAAGUCGAUGGUCAAUAGGUUAGAAUGGGUUAAAUUCGUUAAGGAUGUUGACGUA